Molecule: ribosomal RNA, 296 nt
Filed under: uncultured bacterium
Lineage: Bacteria
Description: partial 16S ribosomal RNA
Rfam family: Bacterial small subunit ribosomal RNA
Source: RNAcentral
GGAUUAGAUACCCUGGUAGUCCUAGCCGUAAACGAUUGGCACUAAGUAGGGGGCCUCCCAAGGGUUCCCUGCCGUAGCUAAUGUGUUAAGUGCCCCGCCUGGGGAGUAUGGUCGCAAGGCUAAAACUCAAAGGAAUUGACGGGGGCUCACACAAGCGGUGGAGCAUGUUGUUUAAUUCGAUCAACGCGAAGAACCUUACCUGGGCUUGACAUCUACGUGGUACCAAACCGAAAGGGGCGGGACCCUCUUUGAGGGAGCGUAGACAGGUAUUGCAUGGCUGUCGUCAGCUCGUGUUG